Gasterosteus aculeatus aculeatus (three-spined stickleback) is the source of this 1840-nucleotide long non-coding RNA. NCBI's taxonomy places the organism in Eukaryota, Metazoa, Chordata, Actinopteri, Perciformes, Gasterosteidae. The record is from Ensembl.
AGAAGGGAAAGUGUGUCUUCAAUAUCAGCAGACAGGCCGCGACAGCAGACCCCCAGGCACCGGCUGGACCAUUCUCGGGCAGGCAGGCAGAGCGCAGCAAGGCAGAGCGACUGGCAGAAGACAGGAAGUGGAGGCUUCUGCAAAUGCUGCUCUGGAGGUACUUCAAACAGAAACGAGACACGCAGUACGUUACCACAGUCCUCCCGUGGAUUUCACUUACCCCCUCGGCACGUCUUCUGUGAAGUCGAUGCGGGCAUUCGGGCCUCCUCCUCUUCCUCCCCCAAGGACUGUGUCUAUCAAACUAUCACUGGAAUGUCGAACCAGGCCCCUGAAGCCCACACGUACAGCCACACUCAGCAGCACUCAGCACAUGUCUCCGACUGCCAGCACAGGGAAAGAGACGUGGUCAAUCACACCGGACAGCAGAGGAGAGAGGAAAGAGCGCUGGAGAGUGGGAGGCGGACAAGCAUUUCAUCAGCAGAAAAAAAACAUGUAAUGUGCAAAACACAUCACGUGAUGGCUAAAGCACUUCAUUUGUUGGCAGAAAUUCAUUAUCAUUGUAUUGAAUAUGAAACCUCCGCAUGUUAUCCUGAAACCAAUAGGUCAAGACCAGUUGCAGCCUCUGUCUCCUGCCAAAGUUAUUGCGUUUUUCAAAUACAAGACCACAUAUUUCAAAGAUUCUGCACGUUGCUUCAUGUCGCAAGCAUGACACUGCAUACUCGGAGGUUUACUCAAAAAAAAAAGUCAUUUGAAGAACUCAAUUUAUUUGUGAGCUGGAAUUCCAUCCGUAGACCUGACUCAAAAACAUUCAUGAAAUAGAAUUAAAUUGAUUUAGUCCAACUCAUUUUGAUGAAAUUCAUCUCAAAUGACUAGAUACCAUUAAUCAAAUAUAACAAAAUGUUGUUCAUUAAACUCAAUCUAAACUCAAAAAGUAAGUCAUUGGAUGAACUCAAUUUAUUUGUGUGCAGGAUUUCCAUCUAAUAAAUAUGUGUAGCCUCAAUCUAAGAACAUCCAUGCAAUUUUAAUAAAAUCCUUCUAAAACAAUUAUUUUACUUAACAUUUUUUAUUUGAUCCCCUAUUAAGACACAUGAAACAUAAUGUAGUUCAAGCGUUUUUAUUGCAAAUGCUCAGAGAAGUCAGAACUGACCAGCCAAUACAAUACAAAAUACAAAAUAAACCAUCUGAUCAGGAAAUUAAUUAACAAAAGUCCAAAAAUUAUCAAGUGCAUUGUGUAUUUCCAUUAAUAACAAUGUAAGUUAAUAUCAACUAGCCUGUACUAUACUGUACUCGGUCCUCAGUACGAGUGUUAGUGUUAGUUUUAAUUGGUUUAGUCAUAAAACGCAGGUAAGUGAUGCAAUAGCUUCCCGGCUAAGCUAAUAUAAUAUGAGCUAAGACCACUUGUUACCUUGGUUACGAUAACCACUUUCAGGCGGCGCCCCGAAGGAAUGCAACUUGUAAAUAUUGAUGCAUUGUAACGUUGAGAGACAGUAAUACAGGAUAAUUUAUAUUAUAGAUUUAUAUUUAUAUGUAUGUAGCCUAUAUAUAUUUUUCUUUUUUUAGUUUUUUUUUAUUGUAUUUGUCUAAUUUAACAUUUUUUUUCAUAAAGCUCCAACCAAAUCUAAUAUUUUGUUUCUUUGACUCUUCAUUGUUCGAUUGUUAAGUAUUUGAAUGUGAUUUAUACGUUAUAACCUACACAAUUGAUAUUCAUUUUGCAAAGUCAAGGCAGCUGUCAUGAAGUCGAGGCGAAUGCCUUGUGAAAUCGUGACGUCACCGCAACCUGCAACAGGAAGUGCCUCAGCGGGUUGCCAGUGCCACGACUUGUGCUAGCUCCUACUGCUGC